GCCAUUCUUCAGGGAUCGGUGAAAUUCCGUACCGGCGGUGAAAGCCCGCGAGCCUUAAAAGGGUUGAUCCGGUGAAAGUCCGGGGCCGACAGUUAAAGUCUGGAUGGGAGAAGAAUGUU
Molecule: non-coding RNA, 119 nt
Filed under: Thermoclostridium stercorarium
Lineage: Bacteria; Bacillati; Bacillota; Clostridia; Eubacteriales; Oscillospiraceae
Also listed under: 1 other name
Description: Clostridium stercorarium FMN sequence
Rfam family: FMN riboswitch aptamer (RFN element)
About the family: The RFN element is a highly conserved domain that is found frequently in the 5'-untranslated regions of prokaryotic mRNAs that encode for flavin mononucleotide (FMN) biosynthesis and transport proteins.
Source: RNAcentral